Molecule: ribosomal RNA, 342 nt
Filed under: uncultured bacterium
Lineage: Bacteria
Description: bacterial SSU rRNA
Rfam family: Bacterial small subunit ribosomal RNA
Source: RNAcentral
AGAGUUCGAUUAUGGCUCAGGAUGAACGCUGGCGGCGUGCUUAACACAUGCAAGUCGAGCGAAGCACUUAUGAUGAUUCUUCGGAUGAAUCAUUUGUGACUGAGCGGCGGACGGGUGAGUAACGCGUGAGUAACCUGCCUCAUACAGGGGAAUAACAGUUAGAAAUGACUGCUAAUGCCGCAUAAGCGCACAGGGCCGCAUGGCCCGGUGUGAAAAACUCCGGUGGUAUGAGAUGGACUCGCGUCUGAUUAGCUAGUUGGCAGGGUAACGGCCUACCAAGGCGACGAUCAGUAGCCGGCCUGAGAGGGUGAACGGCCACAUUGGGACUGAGACACGGCCCAA